AUACGGAGGAUCCGAGCGUUAUCCGGAUUUAUUGGGUUUAAAGGGUGCGCAGGCGGCCAUUUAAGUCAGCGGUUAAAUCGUGGGGCUCAACCCCAUUCUGCCGUUGAUACUGGGUGGCUUGAUUGCGGUCGAGGUUGGCGGAAUUCGUUGUGUAGCGGUGAAAUGCAUAGAUAUGACGAAGAACACCGAUUGCGUAGGCAGCUGACCAGACCGCAAAUGACGCUCAUGCACGAAAGUGCGGGGAUCGAACAGGAUUAGAUACCCUGGUAGUCCGCACAGUAAACGAUGAAUACUUGUUUUCGGCGAUAUAAUGUCGGAGGCAAAGCGAAAGCGAUAAGUAUUCCACCUGGGGAGUACGCCGGCAACGAUGAAACUCAAAUGAAUUGACGGGG
RNAcentral lists this ribosomal RNA (392 nucleotides) under uncultured bacterium. Its description in RNAcentral is "partial 16S ribosomal RNA". It matches the Rfam family "Bacterial small subunit ribosomal RNA", at positions 523 to 918 of the family's 1533-position model. The record is from RNAcentral.